CUGCUUCCACCUUUACAUGUCUGUGACAGAGUUAAAGACCUGCAGUAAAUCAGAGACAAACACACUGCAGACUGAGCAGAGACAAAUGGCUGCUACAAUGAUCAGACCUCAUCAGGUUAUGAUUGCUUUUCUCAUCCUGACAGUUAACUGGACAGGUACUGAUGGUCAAACAUUGACUGAGUCUGAACCAGUGGUCAAAAGGCCUGGAGAAUCCCACAGACUGACCUGCACAUAUUCUGGACUUGGUACUCCUGACAUAGCUUGGAUCAGACAGGCAGCUGGAAAAGGACUGGAGUGGAUUGCUUGGAUCUGGUCAGACAGUAGUGGCAGUGGCAGCAUCUACUACUCUGACUCAGUGAGAAACCGGUUCACCAUCUCCAGAGACAACAGCAGAAGUCAGGUGUAUCUGCAGAUGAACAGUCUGACAGCUCAGGAUUCUGCUGUUUAUUAUUGUGCUCGAGAGCCACAGUGA
Molecule: non-coding RNA, 472 nt
Organism: Girardinichthys multiradiatus
Lineage: Eukaryota; Metazoa; Chordata; Actinopteri; Cyprinodontiformes; Goodeidae
Source: the annotation of a RefSeq genome assembly